CACAGGGGAGCUUGCUCCCUGGGUGGCGAGUGGCGGACGGGUGAGGAAUACAUGGGAAUCUACCCUGUCGUGGGGGAUAACGUAGGGAAACUUACGCUAAUACCGCAUACGACCGAGAGGUGAAAGCGGCGGACCGCAAGGCGUCGCGCGACUGGAUGAGCCCAUGUCGGAUUAGCUUGUUGGCGGGGUAACGGCCCACCAAGGCGACGAUCCGUAGCUGGUCUGAGAGGAUGAUCAGCCACACUGGAACUGAGACACGGUCCAGACUCCUACGGGAGGCAGCAGUGGGGAAUAUUGGACAAUGGGCGCAAGCCUGAUCCAGCCAUGCCGCGUGUGUGAAGAAGGCCUUCGGG
This 353-nucleotide ribosomal RNA is filed under the name uncultured bacterium. RNAcentral's name for it is "bacterial SSU rRNA". It matches the Rfam family "Bacterial small subunit ribosomal RNA", at positions 70 to 422 of the family's 1533-position model. The record is from RNAcentral.